ACUCCUACGGGAGGCAGCAGUAGGGAAUCUUCCACAAUGGACGAAAGUCUGAUGGAGCAACGCCGCGUGAGUGAAGAAGGGUUUCGGCUCGUAAAACUCUGUUGUUAAAGAAGAAUAUAUCUGAGAGUAACUGUUCAGGUAUUGACGGUAUUUAACCAGAAAGCCACGGCUAACUACGUGCCAGCAGCCGCGGUAAUACGUAGGUGGCAAGCGUUGUCCGGAUUUAUUGGGCGUAAAGCGAGCGCAGGCGGUUUUUAAGUCUGAUGUGAAAGCCUUCGGCUCAACCGAAGAAGUGCAUCGGAAACUGGGAAACUUGAGUGCAGAAGAGGACAGUGGAACUCCAUGUGUAGCGGUGAAAUGCGUAGAUAUAUGGAAGAACACCAGUGGCGAAGGCGGCUGUCUGGUCUGUAACUGACGCUGAGGCUCGAAAGUAUGGGUAGCAAACAGGAUUAGAUACCCCUGGUAGGAUAGCG
Molecule: ribosomal RNA, 473 nt
Filed under: uncultured bacterium
Lineage: Bacteria
Description: bacterial SSU rRNA
Rfam family: Bacterial small subunit ribosomal RNA
Source: RNAcentral